AAAAGGCACAUUAAUUAUCUUUGGGGCCAUGGGAUAAAAAAAAACCCUACAAAACCAAGUUAGCACACCCUAGAAUGGUUCUAGCACAAUUACUAACCUAUAGCUCUGAUACCAGUUGAAGGGAAAAACCC
This 131-nucleotide microRNA precursor is filed under the name Vitis vinifera (wine grape). Its description in RNAcentral is "MIR845_2 microRNA precursor family". It matches the Rfam family "MIR845_2 microRNA precursor family". Lineage: Eukaryota; Viridiplantae; Streptophyta; Magnoliopsida; Vitales; Vitaceae. The record is from Rfam by way of RNAcentral.